Long non-coding RNA from Herpailurus yagouaroundi (jaguarundi), 314 nucleotides. RefSeq lists it as uncharacterized. The record is from RefSeq and is a predicted model, not a curated record. The transcript has 2 exons. NCBI's taxonomy places the organism in Eukaryota, Metazoa, Chordata, Mammalia, Carnivora, Felidae.
CCCGCCCCGCCGCCGUAUUGGGUGCUGGCUAACGAAGCCGCAGCCCCCUUGGGCGAGUGUCACCAACCCGCUGCCGGGUGCAUUCCCCUGUCCUCCAGGGCACGUGAGGGGACGGCCUCACCUUUCCAGGCAAAAGCACACACUCUUGGAUCUAGGAAGAUGUCUUUAAUAACGUAAUUUUUAAGUGCUUAAAAGAACUCUACAGGGAACUCUACACAGUGUCUCAUGGGGAAAGGGACCCGGCCUGCCUCCCUGAGGAGUCCAUCCUGAGACCGAUCUGGAGAAGUUACUCAGAGAAAAGGGAACCGGCACGU